RNAcentral lists this ribosomal RNA (305 nucleotides) under uncultured bacterium. RNAcentral describes it as "bacterial SSU rRNA". It matches the Rfam family "Bacterial small subunit ribosomal RNA", at positions 337 to 635 of the family's 1533-position model. The record is from RNAcentral.
GCCUACGGGGGGCAGCAGUAGGGAAUUUUCGUCAAUGGGCGCAAGCCUGAACGAGCAAUGCCGCGUGAACGAGGAAGGUCUUCGGAUCGUAAAGUUCUGUUGAAGGGGAAAAAGAGCGGAGAGAGGAAAUGGUCUCCGAUUGAUAUUACCCUUCGAGGAAGUCACGGCUAACUACGUGCCAGCAGCCGCGGUAAUACGUAGGUGGCGAGCGUUAUCCGGAAUGAUUGGGCGUAAAGGGUGCGUAGGCGGCCUGCUAAGUCUGGAGUGAAAGGUACCGGCUCAACCGGUACAGUCUCUGGAAACUG